RNAcentral lists this long non-coding RNA (383 nucleotides) under Dermacentor andersoni. RNAcentral describes it as "uncharacterized LOC126535711". Lineage: Eukaryota; Metazoa; Arthropoda; Arachnida; Ixodida; Ixodidae. The record is from RNAcentral.
AAGACGUUCAGCGCUGUCGUGAAAUGUGAACGCGCCUGAGUAGGCACAGCAGCUUGUGAACCCGCUCCUAUAAUACCUCUACCCGCGUCUGUUUGUAAAUGCAUGUUUUCUUGCGUUUGUCAAUUUUUUUUCGAUUUCUCACAUUUCUUUAUAUUGGAGUUUUUCUUAGUUUUCGCGUUUGUGUGUGAAUACGUGCCUGCUUCCAUGCGUGUUUGCACUUACCCUUAUUUCUGUCCUUUUAUGUUAUAUUAGCAUUUGCUUUUGCUAGUUUUCUUUCAGCAAAGUCUUUACACAUUUUCAUUAACCAAUCUCAUUCAAAGCACUAACUCAUGUACACGGCAGGGCUGGCCUCUUCCAUCUCAUUAAAACCUUUCUCACUGGUC